AUGAACGCUGGCGGCGUGCCUAAUACAUGCAAGUCGAGCGCACAGACGAGGAGCUUGCUCCUCUGACGUUAGCGGCGGACGGGUGAGUAACACGUGGAUAACCUACCUAUAAGACUGGGAUAACUUCGGGAAACCGGAGCUAAUACCGGAUAAUAUAUUGAACCGCAUGGUUCAAUAGUGAAAGACGGUUUUGCUGUCACUUAUAGAUGGAUCCGCGCCGCAUUAGCUAGUUGGUAAGGUAACGGCUUACCAAGGCAACGAUGCGUAGCCGACCUGAGAGGGUGAUCGGCCACACUGGAACUGAGACACGGUCCAGACUCCUACGGGAGGCAGCAGUAGAGAAUCUUCCGCAAUGGGCGAAAGCUUGACGGAGCAACGCCGCGUGAGUGAUGAAGGUCUUCGGAUCGUAAAACGCUGUUAUUAGGGAAGAACAAAUGUGUAAGUAACUAUGCACGUCUUGACGGUACCUAAGCAGAAAGCCACGGCUAACUACGU
Molecule: ribosomal RNA, 495 nt
Filed under: uncultured bacterium
Lineage: Bacteria
Description: partial 16S ribosomal RNA
Rfam family: Bacterial small subunit ribosomal RNA
Source: RNAcentral